GACGAACGCUGGCGGCGUGCCUAAUACAUGCAAGUCGAGCGCAGGAAACUGACGGAACUCUUCGGAGGGAAGGCAGUGGAAUGAGCGGCGGACGGGUGAGUAACACGUAAGGAACCUGCCUCAAGGAUUGGGAUAACUCCGAGAAAUCGGAGCUAAUACCGGAUAGUUCAACGGACCGCAUGGUCCGCUGAUGAAAGGCGCUCCGGCGUCACCUUGAGAUGGCCUUGCGGUGCAUUAGCUAGUUGGUGGGGGAACGGCCCACCAAGGCGACGAUGCAUAGCCGACCUGAGAGGGUGAGCGGCCACACUGGGACUGAGACACGGGCCAGACUCCUACGGGAGGCAGCAGUAGGGAAUCUUCCACAAUGGACGAAAGUCUGAUGGAGCAACGCCGCGUGAGUGAUGAAGGUUUUCGGAUCGUAAAACUCUGUUGUAAGGGAAGAACACGUACGAGAGGAAAUGCUCGUACCUUGACGGUACCUUACGAGAAAGCCACGGCUAACUACGUGCCAGCCGCCGCCGUAA
This 524-nucleotide ribosomal RNA is filed under the name uncultured bacterium. RNAcentral's name for it is "partial 16S ribosomal RNA". It matches the Rfam family "Bacterial small subunit ribosomal RNA", at positions 28 to 523 of the family's 1533-position model. The record is from RNAcentral.